GAUGAACGCUGGCGGCGUGCCUAAUACAUGCAAGUCGAGCGAACGGACGAGAAGCUUGCUUCUCUGAUGUUAGCGGCGGACGGGUGAGUAACACGUGGAUAACCUACCUAUAAGACUGGGAUAACUUCGGGAAACCGGAGCUACUACCGGAUAAUAUUUUGAACCGCAUGGUUCAAAAGUGAAAGACGGUUUUGCUGUCACUUAUAGAUGGAUCCGCGCUGCAUUAGCUAGUUGGUAAGGUAACGGCUUACCAAGGCAACGAUGCAUAGCCGACCUGAGAGGGUGAUCGGCCACACUGGAACUGAGACACGGUCCAGACUCCUACGGGAGGCAGCAGUAGGGAAUCUUCCGCAAAGGGCGAAAGCCUGACGGAGCAACGCCGCGUGAGUGAUGAAGGUCUUCGGAUCGUAAAACUCUGUUAUUAGGGAAGAACAUAUGUGUAAGUAACUGUGCACAUCUUGACGGUACCUAAUCAGAAAGCCACGGCUAACUACGUG
RNAcentral lists this ribosomal RNA (497 nucleotides) under uncultured bacterium. RNAcentral's name for it is "partial 16S ribosomal RNA". It matches the Rfam family "Bacterial small subunit ribosomal RNA", at positions 28 to 507 of the family's 1533-position model. The record is from RNAcentral.